Suricata suricatta (meerkat) is the source of this 589-nucleotide long non-coding RNA. RefSeq lists it as uncharacterized. The transcript has 4 exons. The record is from RefSeq and is a predicted model, not a curated record. NCBI's taxonomy places the organism in Eukaryota, Metazoa, Chordata, Mammalia, Carnivora, Herpestidae.
CCAAUAUUCCACUGACCAAUACCCUGCUCUGCUCAGUUACCUCAGUGGCCAGAGGUUUCAGGAUUUUAAACCAGAUGCAAAAGAACACAUGCUAUAAAAGAACUGAUUGAUAUAUUUAAUUUUAUUAAAACUGAAAGCAAAAAAAUGAUUACCUAAAUAACAUACAACAUCAACAACAGAAAACUUUUGUUUAUCUAAAACCACCAUGAAGAAAUGAAAAAGCUGAAGUCAAUUUCUCUUUCCAGAUAGUAACAGUAAUAGAGACACCAAAGCUAUUGAUCCUGCAUUCAAAUUUGUUCUCAAGUCUUUCAUGAUAUUAAGUCAUCUGAUGAAAGCAUUGAGCUGUUACUCAUUAUGAAGAUAUGACUGAACAUCAUGGGUCCCAGGGAGAACGGAGCUAAGGUUUCCACACUGCUGUUUCAAUAUGUCAAGCCAAACAAAUUCAAAAUCUCCCCGAUUCAGCUUUUGUUCAACCAAGCACAAUGAGCUGAGAGAAGGAGGUAGCUAUACUAGAUGUCAUUCUUCAGAAGAAGAUGAACCCCUUUUCAGUUCAUGCUGUACUAGGAAUAUUCUCCCAUUUACACAGCUG